This 335-nucleotide long non-coding RNA is filed under the name Panax ginseng (ginseng). RNAcentral's name for it is "long non-coding RNA (PGIN_LNC009921)". The record is from RNAcentral. Lineage: Eukaryota; Viridiplantae; Streptophyta; Magnoliopsida; Apiales; Araliaceae.
GGUGUGCUCUUACCUCAGUCAUACUUCUUCUGAUGCCUUGAAAACUGUUGCAGACUGCUUCGCAUGGGCUGUUACGUGGUUGUUGUUGUCGCGUUGUUGCUGCUACAUCUCUAUUGCAACUUGCCAUGCUCGGUUGUAGAUGCAAGGACUAUGUGGUAUUGCUACAGGUUUUUGCUGCUAUUGUUUCUCUAUAUGAGUUGAGUGCAGUUUGAGGGCUUGCUUCAGGUGUUGCUCCUGGUUUGGCUCGUUGGUGCUGCUUUGAAAGGCUUGGUUUGGUUAUUGGUGCUGAUUCUAGAGACUGUGGGUCUGUUUCGGCUUUGCUGCCUACUUUGAAA